ACGAACGCUGGCGGCGUGCCUAAUACAUGCAAAUCGAGCGGACUAAUUAAGAGCUUGCUCUUAUGAGGUUAGCGGCGGACGGGUGAGUAACACGUGGGCAACCUGCCCUGUAGACUGGGAUAACAUCGAGAAAUCGGUGCUAAUACCGGAUAAUUGUUGGAACUGCAUAGUUCUAACUUAAAAGAUGGCUCCGGCUAUCACUAUAGGAUGGGCCCGCGGCGCAUUAGCUAGUUGGUAAGGUAAUGGCUUACCAAGGCGACGAUGCGUAGCCGACCUGAGAGGGUGAUCGGCCACACUGGGACUGAGACACGGCCCAGACUCCUACGGGAGGCAGCAGUAGGGAAUCUUCCGCAAUGGACGAAAGUCUGACGGAGCAACGCCGCGUGAGUGAUGAAGGUUUUCGGAUCGUAAAGCUCUGUUGUUAGGGAAGAACAAGUGCCGUUCGAAUAGGGCGGCACCUUGACGGUACCUAACCAGAAAGCCACGGCUAACUACGUG
This 498-nucleotide ribosomal RNA is filed under the name uncultured bacterium. RNAcentral describes it as "bacterial SSU rRNA". It matches the Rfam family "Bacterial small subunit ribosomal RNA", at positions 29 to 507 of the family's 1533-position model. The record is from RNAcentral.